GGAUGCAAAAGUCGUAACACGGUUUCCGUAGGUGAACCUGCGGAAGGAUCAUUCACACAAUUCGCACGCCUGGAACGCGCUGCUGGUUUUACAGGUUUCAAGCAUUCGCUUUGCCUGGGUGGCCAGCAGCAGGUAGUCCAGCAGCAGGUAGUCGUCGGUGUUGUUGGAAAGAAAAAUUUAGUCCAUCGCAACCCUUGAAUCUGUUUUUCUCUGCAACGGUUUUUCUACUUUUUAAAAAUUGAUGGAAUUUUUUGCUGCUGCAAGGAUAUAUAGCAGUAGUAUGUACGUGGGCGGUCGGGGGGGUGGUGGCGCAUGCACGGGCUCGCGUGGGGCCUGUCGGUGGCAGCCCCAGCGCGCCGGCGCCAGCCCCGUGAUCGUCGAUCGCGCACGUACGUGGAGGGGAUUAUGAGAGGAGAAGACGCGCACGGGGCUGUGUCGUAUGCAGAGCGCUCGCGGCUCGGGCGAUUGUUCCGUGUUGUGUGCUCUGCUGCAUGCUGGUGUGUGCGUUCUGUCUCUUUCUCUCUCCGUUACAUGCUGCUUGGAACUUUGCUUCAGCAAGAAACUUUUGCUCACUAAGGUGAAUCGAAUCACUUUUGUUGAUGAGCAGAAGGAAGAAUAGGUAGAAAUCGGAAAAAACUUUCAGCAAUGGAUGUCUUGGCUCACGCAUCGAUGAAGGACGCAGCGAAAUGCGAUACGCAUUGUGAAUUGCAGAUUUCAGUGAACCAUCAGAUUUCUGAACGCACAAGGCGCUGCUGGUAUUUUGCCCGCAGCACGUCUGUUUCAGUGUCUCUUAACAACUCCUACUAGUAGGCCAUGCUGCUGUCUGUUUCUGUUCCUUGUGGUCCUGUGAGGGUUCGGCGAUGCUGCCGACAGAAGUGAGUGGUUUGCUCGUUUCUGUUUUGUGUCGCGGAAUUUUUUCGGUUCACCAAAGGGGAGGUAGAAGCAUGUUUGGUUUCAUUUGAGUGUCGUUGCAUUGGUAUUGAAGGAGAUGCGGCGUCUCUCGAAAUUGUUGUCGGCAGCGGUGCUGUGUGUCUGCACAGUGUGCCGUUUUACAUGCCUGUGCUUUCUAUAGUGUCGUCGUAUGCUCCUUUCAUUCGGAAAGAGAGAGAUACGGUGGUUGUAUUUUAUGCAACAUUGUUUGUCUCAUUCUGGACGAAUGUUUUGAGCAGGGCUAGGGCGAGGUAUAAUAGUGCAUGGGUAUGCGACAACGUGAAACGACAUAUAGUACACGGCACCAUGGACGUGUUGCAUGCGUCGUUUUUUCUCGGUAUUACACAUGUAUGUAUAGACCUGAAAUCAGUCGAGGUUACCCGCUGAAUUUAAGCAUAUUAUUAAGCGGAGGA
This 1343-nucleotide small RNA is filed under the name uncultured Eimeria. RNAcentral describes it as "eukaryotic LSU rRNA". The stretch from base 635 to 789 matches the Rfam family "5.8S ribosomal RNA". The record is from RNAcentral. Lineage: Eukaryota; Apicomplexa; Conoidasida; Eucoccidiorida; Eimeriidae.